AAUACGACAUCGAUAAGAAGAGUAGCAAGUAUGGCCAUCUAAAGAGAGUCUCUGGUAGGUGAAAAGAGACGAUGACAUUUUGUGAACCACAUCUUGGAGUUGUUUUUCUGAAAUGAAAGUAAGAAAAUCCGGGUAUGCCCGUUAUAGCAACAGUCAUUGAUAGAUGACUUAUAGAGACUCUUUACUGUAAAGUAAGAGUGAAAAAAGGUGGAACCACGUAAUUCACGUCCUUUAG
This 235-nucleotide non-coding RNA is filed under the name Enterococcus dispar. RNAcentral's name for it is "T-box sequence". It matches the Rfam family "T-box leader". From Rfam's summary of the family: Uncharged tRNA acts as the effector for transcription antitermination of genes in the T-box leader family. T-boxes are found upstream of many aminoacyl-tRNA synthetase genes and some amino acid biosynthetic genes usually in Gram-positive bacteria. The anticodon of a specific tRNA base pairs to a specifier sequence within the T-box motif, and the NCCA acceptor tail of the tRNA base pairs to a conserved bulge in the T-box antiterminator hairpin. The record is from RNAcentral. Lineage: Bacteria; Bacillati; Bacillota; Bacilli; Lactobacillales; Enterococcaceae.